RNAcentral lists this ribosomal RNA (164 nucleotides) under Candidatus Poseidoniaceae archaeon. RNAcentral's name for it is "partial 23S ribosomal RNA". It matches the Rfam family "Archaeal large subunit ribosomal RNA", at positions 2820 to 2987 of the family's 2987-position model. Lineage: Archaea; Methanobacteriati; Thermoplasmatota; Candidatus Poseidoniia; Candidatus Poseidoniales; Candidatus Poseidoniaceae. The record is from RNAcentral.
CGCCCUGAUGGAUAAGAGCUGAAAGCAUCUAAGCUCGAAGCCACCCCAAAGACGAGACACCUCAGAACACUCGUAAAAGACGAGAUUAAUAGAAUGCGGAUGUAAGCACGAAGGUUUUCCGACGUGUUCAGUCCAGCAUCACUAACGUUCGAGCAUCUUUUUUC